Molecule: long non-coding RNA, 263 nt
Filed under: Lathyrus oleraceus (garden pea)
Lineage: Eukaryota; Viridiplantae; Streptophyta; Magnoliopsida; Fabales; Fabaceae
Description: Pisum sativum (pea) long non-coding RNA (PSAT_LNC023590)
Source: RNAcentral
UUUUGUUUUCUUAUUUUCAUUAACUUUCAAAAUUAAUUUUAAAUAGCUCCUUUGACCUUUUUGACUCCAUUUUUUCAUAAAAUCCAUAAAAAUAGUUUACAUCACAUAUAUAUUUUUUUGCAUAUUUUUAAAAUUAUUUUUUCUUUUAUUAAUAUUUUUUUCCUUUUCUUUUUAUUUUCAUUUUCAAUUUAUUUUUCAACCAUUUUUAAAUAUGUUUGCAUCCAACUUUUGAGGUCCUUUUAUUUGUAAUAUUUUGACUUUUC